Gallus gallus (chicken) is the source of this 110-nucleotide microRNA precursor. The record is from Ensembl. Lineage: Eukaryota; Metazoa; Chordata; Aves; Galliformes; Phasianidae.
CCCUGUCGUCGAGAGUUAUAGUUAACCUUUAGCCGGUUAUGAUGGUGGCUAAAAGGUGCUUCCAUGCUCUUUGGCUGCCAUCGGACCUGGUUAAAGGUUAACAUUUUGCU